RNAcentral lists this ribosomal RNA (253 nucleotides) under uncultured bacterium. RNAcentral describes it as "partial 16S ribosomal RNA". It matches the Rfam family "Bacterial small subunit ribosomal RNA", at positions 524 to 776 of the family's 1533-position model. The record is from RNAcentral.
UACGUAGGGGGCAAGCGUUGUCCGGAAUUAUUGGGCGUAAAGAGCGCGUAGGCGGUCCGAUAAGUCGGCUGUGAAAGUCCGGGGCUCAACCCUUGGAAGCCGGCCGAUACUGUCGGACUAGAGUCCGGAAGAGGCAAGUGGAAUUCCCGGUGUAGCGGUGAAAUGCGCAGAUAUCGGGAGGAACACCAAUGGCGAAGGCAGCUUGCUGGGACGGUACUGACGCUGAGGCGCGAAAGCGUGGGGAGCAAACAGG